Molecule: ribosomal RNA, 439 nt
Filed under: uncultured bacterium
Lineage: Bacteria
Description: partial 16S ribosomal RNA
Rfam family: Bacterial small subunit ribosomal RNA
Source: RNAcentral
CUACGGGAGGCUCCAGUGAGGAAUAUUGCACAAGGGGGGGAACCCUGAUGCAGCAACGCCGCGUGGAGGAUGACGCAUUUCGGUGUGUAAACUCCUUUUAUAUGUCAAGAAAAUGACGGUAGCAUAUGAAUAAGCACCGGCUAACUCCGUGCCAGCAGCCGCGGUAAUACGGAGGGUGCAAGCGUUACUCGGAAGCACUGGGCGUAAAGGACGCGUAGGCGGGUUGGAAAGUCAGGUGUGAAAUCCUACAGCUUAACUGUAGAAAUGCACUUGAAACUUCUAAUCUAGAGUAUGGGAGGGGGAGAUGGAAUUAGUGGUGUAGGGGUAAAAUCCGUAGAUAUCACUAGGAAUACCUAAAGCGAAGGCGAUCUCCUGGAACAUUACUGACGCUAAGGCGUGAAAGCGUGGGGAGCAAACAGGAUUAGAUACCCGUGUAGUC